ACUUCGCGGUAAGUCUAACCCUAAUU
This 26-nucleotide microRNA is filed under the name Cucumis sativus (cucumber). RNAcentral's name for it is "cst-miR11333". Lineage: Eukaryota; Viridiplantae; Streptophyta; Magnoliopsida; Cucurbitales; Cucurbitaceae. The record is from miRBase by way of RNAcentral.